AACCAUAGAAACCUGCGGAGUACCUGCGGAGGGAUCAUUACCGAGCGCGCCCCCCCGUAAAAAGGGGGGCACCUCCCGUCCUUUGCCGGCCCCCCUCUAAAAGGGGGGCUCUUUAGACUCUGCUUCGGCGGGGCGACCCGCCGGAACACCCUCAAGAAAUUCGUCAAACCGUUCCGUCCGAGGGCUUUUUCAAAAAUGAAGCGAAAAACUUUUAACAAUGGAUCUCAGAUCGGAAGAGCA
RNAcentral lists this unclassified non-coding RNA (240 nucleotides) under soil metagenome. Its description in RNAcentral is "partial contains 5.8S ribosomal RNA, internal transcribed spacer 2, and large subunit ribosomal RNA". The record is from RNAcentral.